GCCAUCCUUGGGAUACCACCCUUGUAGUACUGGGACUCUAACCAUAGGCCAUGAAUCUGGUCUUGGGACACUGUCAGGUGGGCAGUUUGACUGGGGCGGUCGCCUCCCAAAAGGUAACGGAGGCGCUCAAAGGUUCUCUCAGUACGGUCGGAAAUCGUACGUAGAGUGUAAAGGCAAAAGAGAGCUGGAUUGCAAGACAUACAGGUCGAGCAAGGAUGAAAAUCGGACUUAGUGAUCCGGUGGUUCUGCGUGGAAGGGCCAUCGCUCAACGGAUAAAAGCUACCCUGGGGAUAACAGGCUUAUCUCCCC
RNAcentral lists this ribosomal RNA (309 nucleotides) under Clostridioides difficile. Its description in RNAcentral is "bacterial LSU rRNA". It matches the Rfam family "Bacterial large subunit ribosomal RNA", at positions 2185 to 2492 of the family's 2925-position model. Lineage: Bacteria; Bacillati; Bacillota; Clostridia; Peptostreptococcales; Peptostreptococcaceae. The record is from RNAcentral.